AUGUAUCAAUACCAUUUUAUGAAUAGUCAAGUUUUUUAUACACAAAAACAAUUACAGAAAUGUCACCCCAACAUUACCUUCUUUAAUGCAGAAGUCAAUUUAUACUUAAAACCCCUAAGAUUAAUCAAUUUACCAAAAGCAUAACAGUUUAUGAUAUUCUGAGCGAUACUAUCUGAGACGGUUUAUUUAGUCAUUGUUGUACCAACCAGCAUUUGGUGUCACUAUUAAACUCUGAAAUUGUUGUUUUCUUGUGUCUUGUGUAUUUGCACGUAUAUGUAUGCAUAUUGAUAAGUACUCUAUUUUAUUUUGUUUGUGCUUCCUUUUCAAUUGCUAUAUUCUUUCUACUAGUAUCCACCAUAUUUUGGGAUGUUUUUGGUUUGUGUUCGAUAAAGUUCUUUAAAAAAAAAAAAAAAAACUCUGAUUCAGCAUUUUAUGUACUCUUCCUGUUUCAGAAAUGUUAUAAACUGUGUACUUAUUUUGCAAUAACCUUCGAUCCCACUAGAGAGCCCUAUUGCAUUGCAGAUGAGCCAGAGACUGUACUUCUUCUGACUAUUGUAUUUGUGUUUUGUUAGGGCUGUACCAACUGAAGAUGGUGGACACACAAGCAUCCUGAAAGCCUCAAGAGGCUGAUGGCGUGGUUCAAACAGGGAAAACUGCAAUGUCGGGAGCACGUCACCAAAGGCUUUGAAAACAUGCCAGCUGCUUUUAAGGGGAUGCUGAAAGGAGACAACACUGGCAAAGCCGUUGUUGCUGUCUGAUGGAUGACCAAUAAAGGUCUUUACACAAUUAA
Molecule: long non-coding RNA, 790 nt
Organism: Oryzias latipes (Japanese medaka)
Lineage: Eukaryota; Metazoa; Chordata; Actinopteri; Beloniformes; Adrianichthyidae
Source: RefSeq, a predicted model, not a curated record